Long non-coding RNA from Octopus bimaculoides (California two-spot octopus), 748 nucleotides. Lineage: Eukaryota; Metazoa; Mollusca; Cephalopoda; Octopoda; Octopodidae. The record is from RefSeq and is a predicted model, not a curated record.
AACCCGAGGAGUGGUACUCAGAUAGUACAAGUGUUUAUCACUAUAAUCAGAUGGCAUAUAGAUGUCCUUUUAUGGUGACCUUAUUUGUCAUUCUACCUACUGUAAGUCCUAUGGCAACAUGUGCAGAUGUAACCAGUUAGAAGCACACUGCAAGUUACAGCUUUCAUCUUUCACCUAUGCUUUAAACUAUGCAGAUCUGCAAUGAGACUGAGUAGUCAUCUGAGAGGGCAUGGAUAGAAAGUCUGAAGUGUUGUUGACAACAAGGAAGCACAAGGAGACAGCAAUCAUCUGUAUGUGCCUGUAUAUGCAUUGAAGUGAUGGCCUUUCCUGGUGAUAACAGCAUUGACAAUGUGAAAUACAAGAAGUUUCAGGAGAAGAAAUCUGUUAUUGAAGGAGGAUUAUUAGAAACAAGGAAUGUAGCUGGAAGAGGAGAUGACUCACAAAUGGAUACUUACAAAAUUUGUUUCAUCAACAAAAUAUGAUGACUAAAUAGGUAGCAGUGCAUUUUUACCAGCCUGUCGACACAAGGAGGCAGCUAAGACAGAGGGUGCAGAUUGAUGACAAGGACUUCUGUCGCAACAAAUAUAGCAAAAUUGUUUCCAGUUAUGUUGGGUAAGCUGCAUGUUGCCAUAUCAACAGCUUGCUAUAAACUCCAAGCAGUAUCUCUUUCUUCACCAGUGUGUAAUUAUUGAUGUUGCUAUCUGUAGAAGGCCAAUGUUGUUAUGUACAGUAAUAAAAUCUUCUGUUA